Molecule: long non-coding RNA, 3206 nt
Organism: Cavia porcellus (domestic guinea pig)
Lineage: Eukaryota; Metazoa; Chordata; Mammalia; Rodentia; Caviidae
Exons: 2
Source: RefSeq, a predicted model, not a curated record
GGUCCCUGGGCAAAGCAGGCGAGGGCGAGAGGGAGCAGAGACUGAGGGGACCCGCGGGAAGCCCAGGAGCUCGGGAGCACCUGGCACAGCGCAAGGAUCUUUGUAAACUGGACUAAAAAGACUUUUGGACGCCAACUGUCAUAAUGACACAUAAAGAAGUCAGGAGUAUGUGGCUCACACCACGCUGGUGUGUCUUCCUUUCAGAAUAAAUGUCCCUAAGAUGGAGCCAGAGACCAUGCUGGGGGCCCUGGCACUGAGGUACUUGAGUGAGGGGACAGAAAACCAAAGUACCAGCCCAGGCAUCCUCUGGGAUAAGGCUGUCUCAAAACGGAAUUUACACAUUGCCAAAGAUUACCGAACCACAUAAAACUUGUGGGAAUCCUCCACAGAGGAGCAGCUGUUUUGAUUUUCAACCUUCCCUGGGAAGAUGUGUGAUCACUCUAAAAUGAUGCAUACAGCAAGAAGGUUCUGAAUGCAAGGAAAUUAAACACCCUGUGGCGUGUGUCUGCUCAGGAAGACACACGUUCCCAGAGAUGUUCAAGAAGACAGAACAUGUGCGAGGAGUAAUGUGUUAUUUUUUAAAAGCCUUUGUAUUAUUGCUGAACACUAGACCGCAGACCUUUGAAGGAGUUAGGAAUCCCUUCCCCAAAAUUCUUAGAAGCUGGGCAUGGUGGCAAAUGCCUGUGAUCCCAGCGCUCAGGAGGCUGAGGCAAGAGGACUACUACAAGUUUGAGGCCAGCCUGGGCUGCAUAGUAAGUUUCAGGCCCUGUGUAUAGGAGACUAAAACGCAGAAGUAUGAGAUGCCACUGACGGCCACACCGGGGACUUAUGAUCAUGUCGAGGUACUCCGCUGCUCCAAAAGCAGCAGAAGCACACUAGCUACUUCUUACUCAUCUCCUGGAAAUUUCCCAAGGAAAUGCAGUGGAAAAGGAGGCAGACAGAAUGUUAAAACAGCUUCAAGAUGUUAACGUAAAUGACUAGUAGUUCUUUAAAACCUGAAAACAGCAUUGCCAUAUGACCCAGCAAUCCCACCUCUAGGCGGACACUCAUGAGCAUAGCAUAGAGCAAGGUCUCAGAUGAACGUGCACACCCACACUCACCGCAGCGGUAUGCAUAGUAGCCAGAAGGUGGAGGCCACCCAAGUGUGCAUCCACACAGGAUCAGCCGAUAAAUAAAACAGGGAAUAUGCAGACAGUGAUAUAUGCCAUGGGGGAGCCUUGAGAACGUGACACUGGGUGAAAUCAGCCAAAUGCAUGACAGCAAAUACUGUAGGAACCCCCCUUCCGGAAGAGACCUAAGCCAUGUAGCAUGGUGAACCGGCACAGAGUGGGCAGAGCGGGAGAGGGGAGUCGUCAGGUGGAAGCAGGUGUAAUCUCAGCGAUGCAGGAUGAGAAGAGUUCUGAGAUGGGCAGUGAGGAUGGCUGUACAGCAGUGUGAGUGUACUGCAUGGCACUGUGACUGUAUGCUUAAAAAUGGUUAUGCUGACGAAAUGCUUGCUACCUGCAUUUUACAGUAAAAAACACUUUUCUGCAAUGACUAUUGUAGUCAUGUAGGAGUGGUUGAGUCCAGUUACAUUAGAAACACCUGAGCAGGGCAGCACUUGCCGAUAACCUGUUUGGAGAGGUAUCUUUGAAGUAGGGCUGUGGUUACCUAGAUGUCAUCUACAACCCUGAAGUCAAACUGAAGCCCAGACACCAUCUUUAGAACUUCAGAGACAGAAUAAAUCUCCCUGAAGAUGAGGAUUUCAGCAGCUGUUUCACAAGUGUGUGUGACCAGCUCCACUUUGAGUCAAACAAAUUAUAAAGAAUACUGACGUACUGUGUUCACUAACAAAACACAGCACCUCGUAGAUUUCUAUCAUGAGGAUACCAGUAGUACAUGUUCUAGAAUUACCCUUUAACAACAUCAAUUUUGAAAUUAUAUCUAGGAAACUGAAUCAAAGCCUGUUACAUAUAAGAAAUCACUUCUAACUGAUGCCUCUGUUGAGAUUAACAACAUAGGAAAAGUUAGGUUAUAUUACAAAAGAAAUUAAACCUAGUAUCUUUGGUCCUCUGUGCAUAGAGUCUAUGUCCUUAAAUUCAAAUAGGAAAUAUUAAAAAAAAAAGUGCAUUAAACAUGCAGUCUUUCUCUUCUUGUCAUUAUUCCCUGAACAGUACAGUAUAGUUAUACUACUUGCAUGAUAUUUGCAUGGUGGGAGGCACUGUCAGUCACCCGGAGAUGAUUUUUUAAAGCUUAGGGGAGGAUAUUCACUGAGCAUCCCUGGACUUGUGUAUCCACAGAGAUUCUGGGAACGAAGGCCGAGCCCUAACACAGACGAAGGACACCAUGGAACUCAAGCUCUACCUCUUGGUGAUCUGGCUCGGCUCCUGCAGAUCGGGGUCCACGUCAAAGACCUCAUUGUCCAGCAGCCUCCGGAGUGUCACGUCCGCCAGCUGCUCCAUGAUCCUGAACACCUCGUCCAGGUUGAGAAACAUGGAGAAGUCGCGCUCCUUAUUCUGCGUGGUGAUCCGGAUGGUGUCCGUGAGGAAGACAUUGGACGUUCUUUCCAAUUUCUGGAUGUCAACCCAAGGGAUGACAAGUCUAACUGCAAGAGGAGAAGGGCUAAUGUAGUUUACAAGAUUGAGCCUUCCUGUGUGCAUCAGCAAGCAGCAGUCCAGAGCGUUCCUUAAACGGAACAAGCUGCUUGACAGCAGCUGGUGAACCCCAAUUUCAUGUCCCAGUGAUUCCCUCAGUGAUUUAAGUGAUACCUCCUAGGUGCUGGCUGUGGCACAUUCCCAAGGAAUGUCAUUCUGGAAUAACAUGCCAACAGCACACAAACCCUCCCAAAGAUAUUUAAACAGCGACGCGAAAGUUUCUCAGUCCACAACAAAUUCUGGUUUUGAAAACAGCAUUCAUGGCACAGGCUAGAGGAAAAAGGAGUGUGAGAGACUUAUUUAUGAUCUCAUUGUCAGAAAUGCGCUGAACCCAAACCAUUAGAUGACAGGUUUAGGCCAAGAAGACAGUAUAAGUAGUUUUCCCAAAUGUUCUGAAGUAAUGCAGUAUUGCUGGGCACAGUGCACACACUUGUAAUCCCUGCUACUCAGAAGGCUGAAGCAAGAGGAUGCUGGAGCCCAGGAGUACAGAGCCACCCUGGGCAAAACAGUGAGACCCUAUCUCUUUUUGUAAAAUGCAAUACAUUACAAAUAAAACAGGUGUUCUACCAUCAA